ACGCUCGACACCUACGGGAGGCAGCAGUGGGAAUAUUGGGCAAUGGAGGCAACUCUGACCCAGCAACGCCGCGUGAAUGAUGAAGGUCUUCGGAUUGUAAAGUUCUGUGACGGGGGACGAACACAAUGACGGUACCCCGAUAGCAAGCCACGGCUAACUACGCGCCAGCAGCCGGGUAAUCUGAGCGGGCUGGCAAGGC
RNAcentral lists this ribosomal RNA (199 nucleotides) under uncultured bacterium. RNAcentral describes it as "partial 16S ribosomal RNA". It matches the Rfam family "Bacterial small subunit ribosomal RNA", at positions 328 to 539 of the family's 1533-position model. The record is from RNAcentral.